This 822-nucleotide ribosomal RNA is filed under the name bacterium. RNAcentral's name for it is "bacterial SSU rRNA". It matches the Rfam family "Bacterial small subunit ribosomal RNA", at positions 26 to 859 of the family's 1533-position model. The record is from RNAcentral.
AGGAUGAACGCUGGCGGCGUGCUUAACACAUGCAAGUCGAACGAUGAAGCCCAGCUUGCUGGGUGGAUUAGUGGCGAACGGGUGAGUAACACGUGAGUAACCUGCCCUUAACUCUGGGAUAAGCCUGGGAAACUGGGUCUAAUACCGGAUAGGAGCGCCUACCGCAUGGUGGGUGUUGGAAAGAUUUAUCGGUUUUGGAUGGACUCGCGGCCUAUCAGCUUGUUGGUGAGGUAAUGGCUCACCAAGGCGACGACGGGUAGCCGGCCUGAGAGGGUGACCGGCCACACUGGGACUGAGACACGGCCCAGACUCCUACGGGAGGCAGCAGUGGGGAAUAUUGCACAAUGGGCGCAAGCCUGAUGCAGCGACGCCGCGUGAGGGAUGACGGCCUUCGGGUUGUAAACCUCUUUCAGUAGGGAAGAAGCGAAAGUGACGGUACCUGCAGAAGAAGCACCGGCUAACUACGUGCCAGCAGCCGCGGUAAUACGUAGGGUGCGAGCGUUAUCCGGAAUUAUUGGGCGUAAAGAGCUCGUAGGCGGUUUGUCGCGUCUGUCGUGAAAGUCCGGGGCUUAACCCCGGAUCUGCGGUGGGUACGGGCAGACUAGAGUGCAGUAGGGGAGACUGGAAUUCCUGGUGUAGCGGUGGAAUGCGCAGAUAUCAGGAGGAACACCGAUGGCGAAGGCAGGUCUCUGGGCUGUAACUGACGCUGAGGAGCGAAAGCAUGGGGAGCGAACAGGAUUAGAUACCCUGGUAGUCCAUGCCGUAAACGUUGGGCACUAGGUGUGGGGACCAUUCCACGGUUUCCGCGCCGCAGCUAACGCA